GUGUUCAUUUCAGCAGCGCAAAUACUAAAAUUGGAAUGAUACAGAGAAGUUAGCAUGGCCCUUGCGCAAUGAUGCCACACAAAUUUGUGAAGCGUUCCAUAUUUCU
This 106-nucleotide small nuclear RNA is filed under the name Pteropus vampyrus (large flying fox). The record is from RNAcentral. Lineage: Eukaryota; Metazoa; Chordata; Mammalia; Chiroptera; Pteropodidae.